This 468-nucleotide ribosomal RNA is filed under the name uncultured bacterium. Its description in RNAcentral is "partial 16S ribosomal RNA". It matches the Rfam family "Bacterial small subunit ribosomal RNA", at positions 28 to 507 of the family's 1533-position model. The record is from RNAcentral.
GACGAACGCUGGCGGCGUGCUUAACACAUGCCAGUCGAACGGAAAGGCCCUGCUUUUGUGGGGUGCUCGAGUGGCGAACGGGUGAGUAACACGUGAGUAACCUGCCCUUGACUUUGGGAUAACUUCAGGAAACUGGGGCUAAUACCGGAUAGGAGCUCCUGCUGCAUGGUGGGGGUUGGAAAGUUUCGGCGGUUGGGGAUGGACUCGCGGCUUAUCAGCUUGUUGGUGGGGUAGUGGCUUACCAAGGCUUUGACGGGUAGCCGGCCUGGGAGGGUGACCGGCCACAUUAGGACUGAGAUACGGCCCAGACUCCUACGGGAGGCAGCAGUGGGGAAUAUUGCACAAUAGGCGGAAGCCUGAUGCAGCAACGCCGCGUGCGGGAUGACGGCCUUCGGGUUGUAAACCGCUUUCGCCUGUGACGAAGCGUGAGUGACGGUAAUGGGUAAAGAAGCACCGGCUAACUACGUG